This is a long non-coding RNA of Prionailurus viverrinus (fishing cat), 792 nucleotides long. RefSeq lists it as uncharacterized. The record is from RefSeq and is a predicted model, not a curated record. NCBI's taxonomy places the organism in Eukaryota, Metazoa, Chordata, Mammalia, Carnivora, Felidae. The transcript is spliced from 7 exons.
GCGGCUGAGGUGAGCUCCAGUUGGCCUCACCUGUGGGCCAGCAAAACCUCCCUGUCUGGGGCGCCAAUGAUUCCCUCUCACGCUCCACUCUGGCUUCGUGUCUGUCACCGGCGCCGCGCAGGGAGCCCCGAGCCGCCUCUCAGCUGUCGCGCCCCGCUGUGAAUCUCGCCCACGCCUUCCGCGGGAGCUGGCCACAGAGGCCCACAGCUCGGGCAGAUUUUUAUACACCAGGAAAAAGCAUUGGAGUUUCUAACUUUUCACUUUGCCGAGAAGUUUACUGACAAAAAAGAAAAAAAAGAAAAGAAAAGAAAAACAGAGUGGCUGAACAAUGCCCCCUGCUUAAGUCCCCCAGAAGCAUAUUUUCUUUAGAGCAACAGAGGCUUUUGCAAUAUGGAAAAAGUGACAUUUGAUCUGAAGGAGUGUGGAGGGGAGCUCUGAGUGUGGGGGACUGACCUUUACUAACCACCUACCCAGAGCGGAGGCUGGAGAAGCGCGAGCUGAGCCUGCAGCAGUGAUGUCUGGUGCCCUCCACAGGCCAAAUUUUAUUGCCUUGACCUUUCUUCAAAUGAGAUGAUCUUCUGGGCCUCCUUACGCUGGACCCCUACUCCAGGCAGCACUGGAUUUGAAACCUGUUACCCGGGAAGAAGCUCCAUGGAGUCAGAGCUGCAGAAAUCUGGCCACAGAAUCCUACCCUAAGAGCACCGAGGCCAAAGUCUCGAGCCCAGAAGUAAAGCCAUCACCAGCAGAUUUGAGACACCUAAAACGGGGGAAUCCUGGUGUAGACAAUAGGAU